Molecule: long non-coding RNA, 95 nt
Organism: Cydia splendana
Lineage: Eukaryota; Metazoa; Arthropoda; Insecta; Lepidoptera; Tortricidae
Exons: 2
Source: RefSeq, a predicted model, not a curated record
GGGGUCAUCCAUUAAUUACAUCACACGUUUAGGGGGGGGGGGGGGGAGUCACAAACUUUGUGAUGUCACUUUAACUUCAUCAGUAACCAAAAUUU